This 254-nucleotide ribosomal RNA is filed under the name uncultured bacterium. RNAcentral describes it as "partial 16S ribosomal RNA". It matches the Rfam family "Bacterial small subunit ribosomal RNA", at positions 524 to 776 of the family's 1533-position model. The record is from RNAcentral.
GACGUAGGGUCCAAGCGUUGUCCGGAUUUACUGGGCGUAAAGAGCGCGUAGGCGGUCUGUUAAGUGUAGAGUGAAAUCUCCAGGGCUCAACCCGGAAACUGCUCUGCAUACUGGCAGACUUGAGGGCGGUAGAGAGAAGUGGAAUGGCUGGUGUAGCGGUGAAAUGCGUAGAUAUCAGUCGGAACACCGGUGGCGAAGGCGGCUUCUUGGGCCGUACCUGACGCUGAGGCGCGAAAGCCAGGGGAGCGAACGGG